AACAGGUGAAACUGAUUAAAACCCCACAAGCCCACUGCGUUGGAAACGACAAACUGAACGGACCAGACUGUGGAAGAGAAACCCGGAGGUGAAUUAGAGUAAGUUAGUUGUUCUAUGGCCUCGUACCAAACAUUAGAAAGUUAACAUUUUAAGGACAAGCUUGUUUUUCAGUUAUGGACAAGCUUAUGGCGUCAGAAGCUGUUGGAUAUUACAAAAAAGGACCAGAAAUAUGGACCCGGUCAUCUCUGUGGGAAGAAGAAUUACCUUCAACCAUAAAUCAGUGGCACUACGUAUGAUAAAGAGACAAGAAAAGCUCCCCGGGGACAUCGAGAUCAUGACGUGCACAAAAGGAAUGUGAGAGGCCUUUGCUUCGCUGGAACAUUCAUGAAAUUACAAGCUUUUGUUUUGCUUUGGUUCCUUUUCAUCUGGUUGAAGAACAUGCAUUCACACAGCGUCCUUUUUAACACACAGUAGUGGAGAUCCUCGAGUCGCAGGAUGACCUGAAGGCAUGAAAUCUGAAAGAUGGCCUUUGGGACCAACUUUUGUUAUGUUUUUCAGAAGUUCAAAUAAAAUAAAUGAUUAUAAC
Molecule: long non-coding RNA, 586 nt
Organism: Amphiprion ocellaris (clown anemonefish)
Lineage: Eukaryota; Metazoa; Chordata; Actinopteri; Pomacentridae
Source: Ensembl